UUCGGUGUCGAUAUUCAAUGGUAUUUGAUUUCGGUACCUUACCCUUACUGAAUCUGUAACACCUUGUUUGUAACAACUACAACAUUUAAUUAAACACAAUACAAACCCCUCUCCUCCACCCUCUUCCUUCCUAAAGUAUGAACAUAUGAACAGGGGAUAGUAAA
Alosa sapidissima (American shad) is the source of this 164-nucleotide long non-coding RNA. RefSeq lists it as uncharacterized. The transcript is spliced from 2 exons. NCBI's taxonomy places the organism in Eukaryota, Metazoa, Chordata, Actinopteri, Clupeiformes, Clupeidae. The record is from RefSeq and is a predicted model, not a curated record.